GACGAACGCUGGCGGCGUGCCUAAUACAUGCCAGUCGAACGCUUCUUUCCUCCCGAGUGCUUGCACUCAAUUGGAAAGAGGAGUGGCGGACGGGUGAGUAACACGUGGGUAACCUACCCAUCAGAGGGGGAUAACACUUGGAAACAGGUGCUAAUACCGCAUAACAGUUUAUGCCGCAUGGCAUAAGAGUGAAAGGCGCUUUCGGGUGUCGUUGAUGGAUGGACCCGCGGUGCAUUAGCUAGUUGGUGAGGUAACGGCUCACCAAGGCCACGAUGCAUAGCCGACCUGAGAGGGUGAUCGGCCACACUGGGACUGAGACACGGCCCAGACUCCUACGGGAGGCAGCAGUAGGGAAUCUUCGGCAAUGGACGAAAGUCUGACCGAGCAACGCCGCGUGAGUGAAGAAGGUUUUCGGAUCGUAAAACUCUGUUGUUAGAGAAGAACAAGGACGUUAGUAACUGAACGUCCCCUGACGGUAUCUAACCAGAAAGCCACGGCUAACUACGUG
Molecule: ribosomal RNA, 508 nt
Filed under: uncultured bacterium
Lineage: Bacteria
Description: partial 16S ribosomal RNA
Rfam family: Bacterial small subunit ribosomal RNA
Source: RNAcentral